This 468-nucleotide ribosomal RNA is filed under the name uncultured bacterium. RNAcentral describes it as "partial 16S ribosomal RNA". It matches the Rfam family "Bacterial small subunit ribosomal RNA", at positions 28 to 507 of the family's 1533-position model. The record is from RNAcentral.
GACGAACGCUGGCGGCGUGCUUAACACAUGCAAGUCGAACGGAAAGGCCCUGCUUUUGUGGGGUGCUCGAGUGGCGAACGGGUGAGUAACACGUGAGUAACCUGCCCUUGACUUUGGGAUAACUUCAGGAAACUGGGGCUAAUACCGGAUAGGAGCUCCUGCUGCAUGGUGGGGGUUGGAAAGUUUCGGCGGUUGGGGAUGGACUCGCGGCUUAUCAGCUUGUUGGUGGGGUAGUGGCUUACCAAGGCUUUGACGGGUAGCCGGCCUGAGAGGGUGACCGGCCACAUUGGGACUGAGGUACGGCCCAGACUCCUACGGGAGGCAGCAGUGGGGAAUAUUGCACAAUGGGCGGAAGCCUGAUGCAGCAACGCCGCGUGCGGGAUGACGGCCUUCGGGUUGUAAACCGCUUUAGCCUGUGACGAAGCGUGAGUGACGGUAAUGGGUAAAGAAGCACCGGCUAACUACGUG